AUCCAUCUGAAGAGUCCGAAAUAGGACAAAACAUGAGUCUUGGAU
Molecule: non-coding RNA, 45 nt
Organism: Schistosoma rodhaini
Lineage: Eukaryota; Metazoa; Platyhelminthes; Trematoda; Strigeidida; Schistosomatidae
Source: Rfam